RNAcentral lists this ribosomal RNA (460 nucleotides) under uncultured bacterium. Its description in RNAcentral is "partial 16S ribosomal RNA". It matches the Rfam family "Bacterial small subunit ribosomal RNA", at positions 338 to 795 of the family's 1533-position model. The record is from RNAcentral.
CCUACGGGCGGCAGCAGUGAGGAAUAUUGGUCAAUGGGCGCGAGCCUGAACCAGCCAAGUCGCGUGAGGGAGGACGGCCCUACGGGUUGUAAACCUCUUUUGCCGGGGAGCAACGGGCGUCACGUGUGGCGCCACUGAGAGUACCCGGAGAAAAAGCAUCGACUAACUCCGUGCCAGCAGCCGCGGUAAUACGGAGGAUGCGAGCGUUAUCCGGAUUUAUUGGGGUGAAAGGGUGCGUAGGCGGAUCGUUAAGUCAGUGGUCAAAUUGAGGGGCUCAACCCCUUCCCGCCAUUGAAACUGGCGUUCUUGAGUGGAAGAGAGGUAUGCGGAAUGCGUGGUGUAGCGGUGAAAUGCAUAGAUAUCACGCAGAACCCCGAUUGCGAAGGCAGCAUGCCGGCUUCCGACUGACGCUGAAGCACGAAAGCGUGGGGAACGAACAGGAUUAGAUACCCUUGUAGUC